AUGGGUCUUUUCCUCAGAGAUGGGGCUUUUCCUCAGGGUUGUGGCUGUAGGGGAAGGAGCUUUUCCCAAAAAGUUUGGGCCUUUUCCUCAGGGUUGGGGCCGGACGGGAAGGGGUUUUUUCUCAUGGUUGGGGCCAGAGGGGAAGGGGCUUUUCCUCCGGUUUGGGGACGGAUUGGCAGGGGCUUUUCCUCAGGCUUCGGGCCUGAGGGGAAGGGGCUUCUCCUCAGGGUUGGGGUCAGAAGGGAAGGGGCUUUUCCUCAGGGUUGGGGCCGGAGGAGAAGGGUCUUUUCCUCAGAGCUGGGGCUUUUCCUCAGGGUUGAGGCCGUAGGGGAAGGGCUUUUCCUCAGGGUUGGGGCCAGAGGGGAAGGGUGUUUUCCUCAGGUUUGGGUCCACAGGGGAAUAGGAUUUUUCCUGAGCGUUGUGGCUUUUCCUCAGGGUUGGGGCCGGAGGGGAAGGGGCUUUUCUUCCAGGUUGGGGCUGGAAGGGAAUAGGAUUUUGCCUCAGGAUUGGGACUUUUCCUCAUGGUUGGGGCUGGAGGGGGAGGAGCUUUUCCUCAGGGUUGGACUUUUCCACAGUGUUUGGGUCGGAGGAGAAGGGGCUUUUCCUCAGGGUUUGAGUCAGAGGGGAAGGGGCUUUUCCUCAGGGUUUGAGUCAGAGGGGAAGGGGCUUUUUCUGAAGGGUUGUAGCUGGAGGGGAUGGGUAAUCCUUUAUAUUUGGGGCCUGAGGGGAAGGAGCUUUUCCACAUACUUGGGGCUGGAGUGGAAGGGCUUUUCCUCCAACUGGCGGUCACCGGGGUGGCUCCUCGGGGGCGCCCUGGAGCCCGCCGGGGGUCACCGGGGCGGGUCCUCUGGGGCGCCUGGUGGCCCCGCCAGGGGUCAGCGAGGUGGGUCCUCCGGGGUGCCCGGGGCCCCGUCGGGGGUCGCCGGGGUGGGUCCUCUGGGGCGCCCGGGGGGCUGCCGUGGCUUGCCGGGGUGGGUCCUGCGAGGCGCCCGGGAGCUCGCUGAGGGUCGCUGGGGUUGGUCCUCCGGGGCUCCCAUGGGCCCGCCAGAGUUCGCCGGGAUAGGCCCUCUGGGGCUCCCGGGGGCCCGCCGGGGGUCACGGGGGGCGGUCCUGCGGGGCGAACGGGGGCCUGCCGGGGGUAGCCGGGAUAGGCCCUCCGGGGCGCCCGGGGGCCUGCUGGGGGUCACCGGGCUGGGUCCUGUGGGGCGCCCAGGAGCUCGCUGA
Molecule: long non-coding RNA, 1224 nt
Organism: Anser brachyrhynchus (Pink-footed goose)
Lineage: Eukaryota; Metazoa; Chordata; Aves; Anseriformes; Anatidae
Source: Ensembl